Caenorhabditis elegans is the source of this 150-nucleotide non-coding RNA. Lineage: Eukaryota; Metazoa; Nematoda; Chromadorea; Rhabditida; Rhabditidae. The record is from Ensembl.
GUUUGCAUACCAGUCGGCGUACAAAACAACCAGUUAUUGAUGAUGAGUUGUCAUCGGCCCCCCCCCCCCCUCUCCUCUCUUAUAGCACUAACCUAUAGUGAAGUGUCAAACCGGUACGGCUUUCGUGUUCGCAGUAGAAUGACGGAGGUU